UGGGGAAUCUUGCACAAUGGGGGAAACCCUGAUGCAGCCACGCCGCGUGAGCGAUGAAGGUUUUCGAAUCGUAAAGCUCUGUUCUAUGGGAAGAUACUGACGGUACCAUGGGAGGAAGCCCCGGCUAACUACGUGCCAGCAGCCGCGGUAAUACGUAGGGGGCGAGCGUAGUCAGGAAUUAUUGGGCGUAAAGGGUUCGCAGGCGGCAUGGCAAGUCCGAUGUAAAAGGCGAAGGCUAAACCUUCGUAAGCAUCGGAAACUGUCAAGCUUGAGUGAAGGAGAGGCAAGUGGAAUUCCUAGUGUAGCGGUGGAAUGCGUAGAUAUUAGGAGGAAUACCGGUGGCGAAGGCGACUUGCUGGGAUUAAACUGACGCUGAGGCACGAAAGCGUGGGUAGCAAACAGG
This 403-nucleotide ribosomal RNA is filed under the name Fusobacteriota bacterium. RNAcentral describes it as "Fusobacteria bacterium partial 16S ribosomal RNA". It matches the Rfam family "Bacterial small subunit ribosomal RNA", at positions 355 to 776 of the family's 1533-position model. The record is from RNAcentral. Lineage: Bacteria; Fusobacteriati; Fusobacteriota.